CAUUAUCGAAAUCCAAGGUGCAGAGGGGGAUCGGAGAAAUCCGUUCCUUCGAAGCCCUUUUACCUCUUUCACACCUGUGUGCACCCACGUUCGCAAGGUCCUUCGGGACCUGCGCAUUCUAUCUCGAACUCGCAUGUCUACAGAAUGUCGCUAGCAUUUGAAAUGAAAUACAACUUUCAGCAACGGAUCUCUUGGCUCUCGCAUCGAUGAAGAACGCAGCGAAUCGCGAUAAGUAAUGUGAAUUGCAGAUUUUCCGUGAAUCAUCGAAUCUUUGAACGCACCUUGCGCUCCUUGGUAUUCCGAGGAGCAUGCCUGUUUGAGUGUCAUCGAAAUCUCAAACUGAGCCUUUUUGACUUUGGUCAAAGGCUUGGGUUUUGGACCGUUGGGAGUCUGCGGGUGACCCUCUCCGGGACGUCGGCUCUCCUGAAAUGCAUUAGCAGUGGGCAUGUGCAAGCCUUGCAUGGCACCAGCCUCUCCGACGUCAUAAUGAUCGUCGUGGGCUGUAAGCUGCAAAGGAUGUACCCCACGCUCCCUAAACCUGUGAGCCCUCCCAGGCUCUGCUUUCGAAGGCUUGACCUCAAAUCAGGUAGGACUACCCGCUGAACUUAAGCAUAUCAAUAA
This 621-nucleotide small RNA is filed under the name Pisolithus capsulifer. Its description in RNAcentral is "eukaryotic LSU rRNA". The stretch from base 172 to 326 matches the Rfam family "5.8S ribosomal RNA". The record is from RNAcentral. Lineage: Eukaryota; Fungi; Basidiomycota; Agaricomycetes; Boletales; Pisolithaceae.